Molecule: transfer RNA, 73 nt
Filed under: Candidatus Polarisedimenticola svalbardensis
Lineage: Bacteria; Pseudomonadati; Acidobacteriota; Candidatus Polarisedimenticolia; Candidatus Polarisedimenticolales; Candidatus Polarisedimenticolaceae
Also listed under: 1 other name
Description: tRNA-Arg
Rfam family: tRNA
About the family: Transfer RNA (tRNA) molecules are approximately 80 nucleotides in length. Their secondary structure includes four short double-helical elements and three loops (D, anti-codon, and T loops).
Source: RNAcentral
GCGACACCCGGAAACAGCGAGUAUCUGGCUUCGAACCAGAGGGUCGGGAGUUCAAAUCUCUCCGGGCGUACCA